GUGAGGAAUAUUGGUCAAUGGGCGAGAGCCUGAACCAGCCAAGUCGCGUGAAGGAAGAAGGAUCUAUGGUUCGUAAACUUCUUUUGCAGGGGAAUAAAGUGCGGGACGUGUCCUGUUUUGUAUGUAUCCUGAGAAUAAGGAUCGGCUAACUCCGUGCCAGCAGCCGCGGUAAUACGGAGGAUCCGAGCGUUAUCCGGAUUUAUUGGGUUUAAAGGGUGCGUAGGUGGUUUGAUAAGUCAGCGGUGAAAGUUUGCAGCUUAACUGUAAAAAUGCCGUUGAAACUGUCGGACUUGAGUGUAAAUGAGGUAGGCGGAAUGCGUGGUGUAGCGGUGAAAUGCAUAGAUAUCACGCAGAACUCCGAUUGCGAAGGCAGCUUACUAAGCUACAACUGACACUGAAGCACGAAAGCGUGGGGAUCAAACAGGAUUAGAUACCCUGGUAGUCC
This 445-nucleotide ribosomal RNA is filed under the name uncultured bacterium. Its description in RNAcentral is "partial 16S ribosomal RNA". It matches the Rfam family "Bacterial small subunit ribosomal RNA", at positions 354 to 796 of the family's 1533-position model. The record is from RNAcentral.